RNAcentral lists this ribosomal RNA (39 nucleotides) under Parmelina tiliacea. Its description in RNAcentral is "partial 28S ribosomal RNA". Lineage: Eukaryota; Fungi; Ascomycota; Lecanoromycetes; Lecanorales; Parmeliaceae. The record is from RNAcentral.
UUGACCUCGGAUCAGCUAGGGAUACCCGCUGACUAAGCA